CCUACGGGUGGCUGCAGUGGGGAAUAUUGGACAAUGGGCGAAAGCCUGAUCCAGCCAUGCCGCGUGUGUGAAGAAGGCCUUCGGGUUGUAAAGCACUUUCAGUGGGGAAGAAAGCCUUGGGGCUAAUACCCUCGAGGAAGGACAUCACCCACAGAAGAAGCACCGGCUAACUCCGUGCCAGCAGUCGCGGUAAUACGGAGGGUGCGAGCGUUAAUCGGAAUUACUGGGCGUAAAGCGCGCGUAGGCGGUCUGAUAAGCCGGUUGUGAAAGCCCCGGGCUCAACCUGGGAACGGCAUCCGGAACUGUCAGGCUAGAGUGCAGGAGAGGAAGGUAGAAUUCCCGGUGUAGCGGUGAAAUGCGUAGAGAUCGGGAGGAAUACCAGUGGCGAAGGCGGCCUUCUGGACUGACACUGACGCUGAGGUGCGAAAGCGUGGGUAGCAAACAGGAUUAGAUACCCUGUAGUC
RNAcentral lists this ribosomal RNA (464 nucleotides) under Vreelandella stevensii. RNAcentral's name for it is "partial 16S ribosomal RNA". It matches the Rfam family "Bacterial small subunit ribosomal RNA", at positions 338 to 795 of the family's 1533-position model. The record is from RNAcentral. Lineage: Bacteria; Pseudomonadati; Pseudomonadota; Gammaproteobacteria; Oceanospirillales; Halomonadaceae.